ACGGAAGGCAGCAGUGGGGGAUAUUGCACAAUGGGGGAAACCCUGAUGCAGCGACGCCGCGUGAGCGAAGAAGUAUUUCGGUAUGUAAAGCUCUAUCAGCAGGGAAGAAAAUGACGGUACCUGACUAAGAAGCCCCGGCUAACUACGUGCCAGCAGCCGCGGUAGUACGUAGGGGGCAAGCGUUAUCCGGAUUUACUGGGUGUAAAGGGAGCGCAGACGGCGAGGCAAGUCUGAUGUGAAAGCUCGGGGCUCAACCCCGGAACUGCAUUGGAAACUGUUUUGCUAGAGUGUCGGAGAGGUAAGCGGAAUUCCUAGUGUAGCGGUGAAAUGCGUAGAUAUUAGGAGGAACACCAGUGGCGAAGGCGGCUUACUGGACGAUAACUGACGUUCAUGCUCGAAAGCGUGGGGAGCAAACAGGAUUAGAUACCCUGGUA
This 434-nucleotide ribosomal RNA is filed under the name uncultured Lachnospiraceae bacterium. RNAcentral's name for it is "partial 16S ribosomal RNA". It matches the Rfam family "Bacterial small subunit ribosomal RNA", at positions 341 to 792 of the family's 1533-position model. The record is from RNAcentral. Lineage: Bacteria; Bacillati; Bacillota; Clostridia; Lachnospirales; Lachnospiraceae.